GUGCCAGCAGCCGCGGUAAUACGAAGGGGGCGAGCGUUGUUCGGAUUUACUGGGCGUAAAGGGCGCGCAGGCGGCCAUGUUUGUCAGGCGUGAAAGCCCCGGGCUUAACCUGGGAGGUGCGUUUGAAACGGUAUGGCUAGAGUUCGGGAGAGGAGCGUGGAAUUCCCAGUGUAGAGGUGAAAUUCGUAGAUAUUGGGAAGAACACCGGUGGCGAAGGCGGCGCUCUGGACCGAGACUGACGCUGAGGCGCGAAAGCGUGGGGAGCAAACAGGAUUAGAUACCCUGGUAGUCCACGCUGUAAACGAUGUGUGCUAGACGUUGGGGAGCCUAGCUCUUCGGUGUCGCAGCUAACGCGGUAAGCACACCGCCUGGGGAGUACGGCCGCAAGGUUAAA
This 394-nucleotide ribosomal RNA is filed under the name uncultured bacterium. RNAcentral describes it as "bacterial SSU rRNA". It matches the Rfam family "Bacterial small subunit ribosomal RNA", at positions 505 to 898 of the family's 1533-position model. The record is from RNAcentral.